AGGAAAGUGGAAUUCCCAGUGUAGCGGUGAAAUGCGUAGAUAUUGGGAGGAAUACCGGUGGCGAAGGCGACUUUCUGGACUAAAACUGACGCUGAGGCACGAAAGUGUGGGUAGCAAACAGGAUUAGAUACCCUGGUAGUCCACACCGUAAACGAUGAACACUAGGUGUCGGGAGGAAUCUCGGUGCCGGCGCAAACGCAAUAAGUGUUCCGCCUGGGGAGUACGUUCGCAAGAAUAAAACUCAAAGGAAUUGACGGGGACCCGCACAGGUAGCGGAGCAUGUGGUUUAAUUCGAAGCAACGCGAAGAACCUCAACCUAAGCUUGACAUGGGGAUGAAAAGCGAUGUAAAGUCGUAAUAAUACCUUCGGGUAUACAUCCCACACAGGUGGUGCAUGGUUGUCGUCAGCUCGUGUCGUGAGAUGUUGGGUUAAGUCCCGCAACGAGCGCAACCCCUAUUAAUAGUUGCCAGUGCGUAAAGGCAGGCACUCUAGUAAGACAGUUAGGGAUAACCUAAAGGAAGGUGGGGAUGACGUCAAAUCAUCAUGCCCCUUAUGCUUAGGGCUACACACGUGCUACAAUGGCCGUAACAAAGAGAAGCGAAUCUGUGAAGAAGAGCAAACCUGAAAAAAACGGUCCAAGUUCGGAUUGUAGGCUGAAACUCGCCUACAUGAAGCCGGAGUUACUAGUAAUCGCAAAUCAGAAUGUUGCGGUGAAUGCGUUCCCGGGUCUUGUACACACCGCCCGUCACACCAUGGGAGCUGAGGGCAUCCCAAAGUCAGUGAUCUAACGAAAGAAGAAGCUGCCUAAGGUGAACUUUGUGUGGGUGAAGUCGUAACAAGGUAGCCG
RNAcentral lists this ribosomal RNA (847 nucleotides) under uncultured bacterium. RNAcentral describes it as "bacterial SSU rRNA". It matches the Rfam family "Bacterial small subunit ribosomal RNA", at positions 655 to 1502 of the family's 1533-position model. The record is from RNAcentral.